RNAcentral lists this ribosomal RNA (465 nucleotides) under uncultured bacterium. Its description in RNAcentral is "partial 16S ribosomal RNA". It matches the Rfam family "Bacterial small subunit ribosomal RNA", at positions 28 to 507 of the family's 1533-position model. The record is from RNAcentral.
GACGAACGCUGGCGGCGUGCUUAACACAUGCAAGUCGUACGGUAAGGCCCUUUCGGGUGUACACGAGUGGCGAACGGGUGAGUAACACGUGAGUAACCUGCCCACAACUUUGGGAUAACGCUCGGAAACUGGUGCUAAUACUGGAUAUGUUCUCCUGCGGCAUGGUGGGGGUUGUAAAGCUCCGGCGGUUGUGGAUGGACUCGCGGCCUAUCAGCUUGUUGGUGGGGUAGUGGCCUACCAAGGCGGCGACGGGUAGCCGGCCUGAGAGGGUGACCGGCCACAUUGGGACUGAGAUACGGCCCAGACGCCUACGGGAGGCAGCAGUGGGGAAUAUUGCACAAUGGGCGCAAGCCUGAUGCAGCAACGCCGCGUGCGGGAUGACGGCCUUCGGGUUGUAAACCGCUUUCAGCAGGGACGAAGCUUUUUGUGACGGUACCUGCAGAAGAAGCACCGGCUAACUACGUG